AUUACAUUGGCAGAAUAGUGUAUUAAAUUUAGAAUUUAAUUAAGUAAUUUAAAAUUACAUGUAAUA
Molecule: transfer RNA, 66 nt
Filed under: Stenosialis australiensis
Lineage: Eukaryota; Metazoa; Arthropoda; Insecta; Megaloptera; Sialidae
Description: tRNA-Leu
Source: RNAcentral